RNAcentral lists this unclassified non-coding RNA (259 nucleotides) under Hevea brasiliensis (rubber tree). Lineage: Eukaryota; Viridiplantae; Streptophyta; Magnoliopsida; Malpighiales; Euphorbiaceae. The record is from RNAcentral.
GAGCCGCGGAAUCAGCACGCCGAUAAACGCCAGAAAUCCAACGCCGACGACCACCAUGGCCUUACGGUGUGCCAACGACCAGCGCAGGACCGGCGUGUAGAUUCUACGAAGAAUACGCACCACGAUGGUUUCUGCUUCCUCGACAUCAAGUAGGAGGUCAACACCGGCGUAAUGGUGAAGGUCGCGAUCAACGCACCGAUCAACGCAUAUCCGUAGGUCUUUGCCAUCGGACUGAAGAUCUGCCCCUCAACGCCCUGCA